AGGAAGAGCUGCUAUUCUUGUCCCCAGACAACAUGAACCAGAUGCCAAAACAUGCUGCUAUUUAUUGCUGCUGUUACUUGAAAGAUAUCUAUGGGAAAAGAGAAGAUCCAGUGUGCAACAUUUUAGAAAGAUGCAACUGAAAAAGACAGCAUUUAUCUUAAACAUAUACUAUGCAUGAGCAGACGGUAGAAAUAUAAAUGGAGAUUCCAAUUGUCCUUGGGCUGCUAAAAUUUUUCAUAUAUAAAGAGGCCACUAUCUAAACUCAUAUCCAAUGUUAGAGAUGGAAAAAAGAAGAAGUUUGGAACAGAAGGAUGAAACAAAUACUUUGUAGGAGGUGAAGAAGGAAGAGAUGAAGGUGAAGAUGGAAUACAUUGAAAAGAUGGACAAAUGAACAAGAAAUUGAUGUGUGUGGUACAAAGAACAUGAAAAUUUACCUUACAAGAAGGGUAUUUUAUGCACGGAUUACCAGCUGUGCUCUAAUACAUAUGGCUGAUACAAGAUACUGUUAAGGUUUGGACAACACAAUCCUUUAAUGGGGAUAAAAAAUUCUUUCCUUUACGUCACUAUGAAGUCUAAGUAGAUCAGAAACAGGCCUAGGUCAGGAUCUGUUAGUACUGUUGAAUACUUCUAAAGCAGUAUCAGGUUAAUUUUAUGCUGAUGAUAUUUCUAAAUUAAAGUUUUGGGUUGGUGACUUUUAAAUGAAAGAAGAAAAUAUGUAUGAAUGAAGAAAAACAUCUAUUUGGUUUGCUGAGGACCUGCUGAUCAGUGGGUUGCUGAUGUGGAUUGACUGGGGUUAGAAAGUGAAGUAGAGCCGAUAGAGCUUUGGCAGCAAGUAUGUGUGCAAUACAAAACAGAAGCAGAGGGAACUCAUGACUUUAUUUUUCAGGAUCUUGCAACAGCAUGGGAGUAGUGGCAACACUGACAUGGCCAGGGCACCAGUAUCUAUCUGAAGAGAGAAGAACAAGACAGGGGACACAGAAUCUGAUGAAGUCCUGUCAUUGUGCUGUGCUUGCCUGGCAUGGCCGGAACUGGUGUACUUCAGACACCACACACCUGGGACGAGUACAUGGGCUAUGGCAGCUGCUCUCUAACAGGCAGAGCUUCCUACUGAAAUCAAUGGAAGGUUUGCUUAAAAAUCAAUUGGAAGGUUUGGCCCUGAAACAUAAGACAAUGGGGGCUCCUCAAUCAUAUCAAGAGAAGUGA
RNAcentral lists this long non-coding RNA (1203 nucleotides) under Anser brachyrhynchus (Pink-footed goose). RNAcentral describes it as "lncRNA (ENSABRG00000016991.1)". Lineage: Eukaryota; Metazoa; Chordata; Aves; Anseriformes; Anatidae. The record is from RNAcentral.